UACGUAGGGUGCAAGCGUUGUCCGGAAUUAUUGGGCGUAAAGAGCUCGUAGGUGGCCUGUCGCGUCGGCUGUGAAAACCCAGGGCUUAACUCUGGGCUGGCUUUCGAUACGGGCAGACUAGAGGUAUGCAGGGGAGAACGGAAUUCCUGGUGUAGCGGUGAAAUGCGCAGAUAUCAGGAGGAACACCGGUGGCGAAGGCGGUUCUCUAGUACGGUACUGACGCUGAGACGCGAAAGCGUGGGGAGCGAACAGG
This 253-nucleotide ribosomal RNA is filed under the name uncultured bacterium. Its description in RNAcentral is "partial 16S ribosomal RNA". It matches the Rfam family "Bacterial small subunit ribosomal RNA", at positions 524 to 776 of the family's 1533-position model. The record is from RNAcentral.